Molecule: transfer RNA, 67 nt
Filed under: Papuadytes sp. MB292
Lineage: Eukaryota; Metazoa; Arthropoda; Insecta; Coleoptera; Dytiscidae
Description: transfer RNA-Leu
Source: RNAcentral
AUUAUUUUGACAGAGAAGUGUAAUGAAUUUAGAAUUCAUUUAUGUAAAUAGAUUUUUACAAAUAAUA